This 24-nucleotide non-coding RNA is filed under the name Xenopus tropicalis (tropical clawed frog). Lineage: Eukaryota; Metazoa; Chordata; Amphibia; Anura; Pipidae. RNAcentral also lists the same sequence under 4 other names. The record is from RNAcentral.
GGCUAAGAUCAAGUGUAGUAUCUG